Molecule: ribosomal RNA, 497 nt
Filed under: uncultured bacterium
Lineage: Bacteria
Description: partial 16S ribosomal RNA
Rfam family: Bacterial small subunit ribosomal RNA
Source: RNAcentral
GAUGAACGCUGGCGGCGUGCCUAAUACAUGCAAGUCGAGCGAACGGACGAGAAGCUUGCUUCUCUGAUGUUAGCGGCGGACGGGUGAGUAACACGUGGAUAACCUACCUAUAAGACUGGGAUAACUUCGGGAAACCGUAGCUAAUACCGGAUAAUAUUUUGAACCGCAUGGUUCAAAAGUGAAAGACGGUCUUGCUGUCACUUAUAGAUGGAUCCGCGCUGCAUUAGCUAGUUGGUAAGGUAACGGCUUACCAAGGCAACGAUACAUAGCCGACCUGAGAGGGCGAUCGGCCACACUGGAACUGAGACACGGUCCAGACUCCUACGGGAGGCAGCAGUAGGGAAUCUUCCGCAAUGGGCGAAAGCCUGACGGAGCAACGCCGCGUGAGUGAUGAAGGUCUUCGGAUCGUAAAACUCUGUUAUUAGGGAAGAACAUAUGUGUAAGUAACUGUGCACAUCUUGACGGUACCUAAUCAGAAAGCCACGGCUAACUACGUG